RNAcentral lists this ribosomal RNA (295 nucleotides) under uncultured microorganism. Its description in RNAcentral is "partial 16S ribosomal RNA". It matches the Rfam family "Bacterial small subunit ribosomal RNA", at positions 505 to 796 of the family's 1533-position model. The record is from RNAcentral.
GUGCCAGCAGCCGCGGUAAUACAGAGGGUGCAAGCGUUAAUCGGAAUUACUGGGCGUAAAGCGCGCGUAGGUGGUUCGUUAAGUUGGAUGUGAAAGCCCCGGGCUCAACCUGGGAACUGCAUCCAAAACUGGCGAGCUAGAGUUACGGUAGAGGGUGGGUGGAAUUUCCUGUGUAGCGGUGAAAUGCGUAGAUAUAGGAAGGGAACACCAGUGGCGAAGGCGACCACCUGGACUGAUACUGACACUGAGGUGCGAAAGCGUGGGGAGCAAACAGGAUUAGAUACCAUGGUAGUAC